This 954-nucleotide long non-coding RNA is filed under the name Helianthus annuus (common sunflower). RNAcentral's name for it is "hypothetical non coding rna". Lineage: Eukaryota; Viridiplantae; Streptophyta; Magnoliopsida; Asterales; Asteraceae. The record is from RNAcentral.
AUGCUACCGUGUUUUUUUACUUUUCACGCCAUUCGUACGUUUUGUACGAUAAGAGUUGACGUGCUGACGUGUUGUAAACGUGCUAAACAGGUUGGAGGGUUGCAGUAAAUUGAUCGCAAAUGGGUUGGCUGGUCGACCUAUUCAGUUAAAUGGAUUGACGGAUCAACCCCGCCCAACUUGUAUAAUUGAACAUGUUAACCAGAUCAAUCGAGCACGACUCGUUUAGAUAAGACACUACAAAACUUUUUUGAGUCUUUGAAGAGGAGGUUUUUGUGGUUAUCAUAAGGUUCAUGUCUUGGUAUUGUUAUGAAGGUUGUAUCAGUAUGUCUAAAAUGGUAUGCUUGUUGUAUUCUCUUUUGGGCUUUUAAAAAGCCCACAUUGACAAAAAAAUGGGUACUUAAAUCUUGAUUAGUAUGUUUUGGGCCGCGUGUAAUUCCAGUUUUUUUAAUUAUAAUAAAAUAAUAAAAGUAUUAUAAAAAGCUAUAUAUUAUUAUAUAAUUAAAUUAAAUUUACUAUUCAUUUUUUAUGUAUAUAUAUGUAUAUAUAUAUAUAUAUGUAUAUAUAAUAAUCCUUGUUUUGAUAUACAUAUAGAAGUAGUAGUCGAAUACCAAUUCCCUACGUAACCAAAGUCAAUUGUGUACUAAGCAGCCAUAUAUGACUUUAUUAUGUGGGCCAGAGUAAACAAAUAUAAUCAAGUUGUGUGCGUGUUAAACGGGUUAGUAAGUAGACAUGUUUCACUAAAUGGGGGCAACUCUUUAAUUAAGUGAGUUGAUGGGUCGUAAUGUUUGAUAAAACGAAUAAAACACGUCACCGUUUAAUAAAUCCACUUAAACAUAUCAACCCGAACACGCACGAGUUAGAUAUUACAACCGAAAACCAAAAACACUAUCCUUCUCUAAGAUUAUAAGGACCACUUCCCUACAAGGUAUGUUUUCUUAAAAGUCAACUAUAAUU